CUGUUGUCUUUGCUGCAUGUAGUUGAUCCUUUAACCAUGAGGUUGCAGUUCGGACUACCAUUGAUGGACGACAUAGAAGUAGAAAUAAAUGUCUUGAAGUGUGUCCCAAUCGAAGGGAUUUCGUACAUCCCUUCUGCGCAUUAGAUCACAAACGAAAAUUCUGGUUUACAAUACCAUCAAAUUGUACAUACGAUCUUGUUAAAUGUUUGAGAAUGAAGGCGAACUUACCCCCUUAUAAAGCGCCGGACAUUGUGGACGGUGAGUGUGAUAAGGUUAAGAAAGAACCACGGUGCGAAACCAUUGCGAUAAAAGAAAAGGAAGAAGGCAUCAGAACCGAAUGAAAAAUCAAC
Drosophila guanche is the source of this 350-nucleotide long non-coding RNA. RefSeq lists it as uncharacterized. The transcript has 3 exons. The record is from RefSeq and is a predicted model, not a curated record. NCBI's taxonomy places the organism in Eukaryota, Metazoa, Arthropoda, Insecta, Diptera, Drosophilidae.